This 466-nucleotide ribosomal RNA is filed under the name uncultured bacterium. Its description in RNAcentral is "partial 16S ribosomal RNA". It matches the Rfam family "Bacterial small subunit ribosomal RNA", at positions 28 to 507 of the family's 1533-position model. The record is from RNAcentral.
GAUGAACGCUGGCGGCGUGCUUAACACAUGCAAGUCGAACGAUGAAGCCCAGCUUGCUGGGUGGAUUAGUGGCGAACGGGUGAGUAACACGUGAGUAACCUGCCCUUGACUCUGGGAUAAGCCUGGGAAACUGGGUCUAAUACUGGAUAUGACUUCUCAUCGCAUGGUGGGGGGUGGAAAGAUUUAUUGGUCUUGGAUGGACUCGCGGCCUAUCAGCUUGUUGGAGAGGUAAUGGCUCACCAAGGCGACGACGGGUAGCCGGCCUGAGAGGGUGACCGGCCACACUGGGACUGAGACACGGCCCAGACUCCUACGGGAGGCAGCAGUGGGGAAUAUUGCACAAUGGGCGCAAGCCUGAUGCAGCGACGCCGCGUGAGGGAUGACGGCCUUCGGGUUGUAAACCUCUUUCAGUAGGGAAGAAGCGAGAGUGACGGUACCUGCAGAAGAAGCGCCGGCUAACUAUGUG